AACGAACGCUGGCGGCAUGCCUAACACAUGCAAGUCGAACGAGACCUUCGUGUCUAGUUGCGCACGGGUUCGUAACGCGUUUGAACCUUCCCUUAUGUUCGGAAUAACUCAGAUUAAUUUGUGCUAAUACCGGUUAAUUUCUUCUUACCAAAGAUUUAUCGCCUUUGGAUGUGCCCUCGUAUGAUUAGAUUGUUGGUGGGGUAAUUGCCUACCAAGGCGACGAUCGUUAGCUGGUCUGAGAGGAUGAUCAGACACACUGGGACUGAGACACGGACGAGAAUACUACGGGAGGGAGCAGUGGGGAAUAUAGGAAAAUGGGAGAAAGAAUGAACAAGCAAUGACGCGAGAGUGAUGAAGGCCUGAGGGUUGUAAAGCUCUUUUAAAAGGGAUGAUAAUGACAGUAACUGGAGAAUAAGCACCGGCUAACUCCGUG
This 433-nucleotide ribosomal RNA is filed under the name uncultured bacterium. Its description in RNAcentral is "partial 16S ribosomal RNA". It matches the Rfam family "Bacterial small subunit ribosomal RNA", at positions 29 to 507 of the family's 1533-position model. The record is from RNAcentral.